Nycticebus coucang (slow loris) is the source of this 947-nucleotide long non-coding RNA. RefSeq lists it as uncharacterized. The record is from RefSeq and is a predicted model, not a curated record. The transcript is spliced from 3 exons. NCBI's taxonomy places the organism in Eukaryota, Metazoa, Chordata, Mammalia, Primates, Lorisidae.
UAAAUGAAAUAAAAGUUGAAUCAGGUUAUGGGAAAUGUGUUUUGUUCUUAUCAUAUUCAUCUUAGAAGUUUAAUAAAAAAAUAACUGUCCAGGUACCUCAAUAAGAGAAUAACAAUUUAAAAACUUAAGGUUGAAAAAAAAAAUUGUGAUUGUUUAACUCAAUAUGGUAUAAUCAACCUUUAAUAUGUGGUAGACAUGAAAAAAUUCUUGACUAAAUACACAAGACAAAAGGGGUGGGAGGGCUAAGGAUAAAGUAUAAGAUAAUAUUACAAAAACUAGGGACCAGGAUCACAAAUGUUUCAUGGAAUAAUAAUGUAACAUAUAUCACUAAUACCUUCCAUCUCUCCUGAAAUGGUUUCUCAUACUGCUUCCACAUUACUUUCUAUAUAAAUAGGAGACAGACAAAAGCAUAUCCAAGCUAGCUUAAAGACAAAUAUGAAGAAAUGUGAUCCCACCUACUUACACAUUCUUUCAUUUGCCUUUGCAGAUGUAAAGACUUCAUCCUGCUUAUUUCCUCCACUGUGCACAGCUAAGUCAUUUUUUGUCACGUAAUCCCAAGCAAGGAUUUUCCAGGACUCUUUCCCUUUCUCCAAUGAAGCAAACACAUCUGGCUGAUAAAUGCAAAGUCCUGCCAAAAAAAUAAGAACAAAGAAGAAAAACACAUGGUCUAGGCACUCCCAUUCCUCCUGAGAGAAAUCUACAGCCACAUCCCUGAGUAUUAUCAACUGCUGAAAGGACAAAUCCAACUAUUAAUGGUGAAAUUAAAAGAAAUCUUCAAGGGGAAAAGAUGGAAAAGAGCACUUCAAGGAGUGAGUCAUACACUAAGGAAAAAACCAGAGUUUGGCUGUCUGGGUUUGGAGAAAAUGACAUAAUAAGUGUGCCUAAAUUUGAGUGCCAACAUGCUGUUGAAAACUUCUGUUGCUCAGUCACCACAUCCUUAUGACCUU